AUCGGUCAUCACGCAUCACGCAUCUAUUCGGCAGCACAGAGAAACUUGUUUCUCAGGGUGGCGAGCGGCGGACGGGUGAGUAAUGCCUGGGAAAUUGCCCUGAUGUGGGGGAUAACCAUUGGAAACGAUGGCUAAUACCGCAUGAUGCCUACGGGCCAAAGAGGGGGACCUUCGGGCCUCUCGCGUCAGGAUAUGCCCAGGUGGGAUUAGCUAGUUGGUGAGGUAAGGGCUCACCAAGGCGACGAUCCCUAGCUGGUCUGAGAGGAUGAUCAGCCACACUGGAACUGAGACACGGUCCAGACUCCUACGGGAGGCAGCAGUGGGGAAUAUUGCACAAUGGGCGCAAGCCUGAUGCAGCCAUGCCGCGUGUGUGAAGAAGGCCUUCGGGUUGUAAAGCACUUUCAGUAGGGAGGAAGGUGGUAGUGUUAAUAGCGCUAUCAUUUGACGUUACCUACAGAAGAAGCACCGGCUAACUCCGUGCCAGCAGCCGCGGUAAUACGGAGGGUGCGAGCGUUAAUCGGAAUUACUGGGCGUAAAGCGCAUGCAGGUGGUUUGUUAAAUCAGAUGUGAAAGCCCCGGGCUCAACCUGGGAAUUGCAUUUGAAACUGGCAAACUAGAGUACUGUAGAG
Molecule: ribosomal RNA, 629 nt
Filed under: Vibrio navarrensis
Lineage: Bacteria; Pseudomonadati; Pseudomonadota; Gammaproteobacteria; Vibrionales; Vibrionaceae
Description: bacterial SSU rRNA
Rfam family: Bacterial small subunit ribosomal RNA
Source: RNAcentral